RNAcentral lists this long non-coding RNA (6058 nucleotides) under Homo sapiens (human). Its description in RNAcentral is "non-protein coding lnc-SUMF1-5:6". The record is from RNAcentral. Lineage: Eukaryota; Metazoa; Chordata; Mammalia; Primates; Hominidae.
AGACCGCCUGGCCUUGGGUGGAUCGGGUCUCUGGGCAGAGCGUGUGUCCGGCAGAGCUAGGACCGGAAAAAGCCACUCUAGGUCUAGGUUAGGAGUGAUGACAGUUAAAAGAUAUAUAAGGAAAAGAAGGAAAGGAUCGUUUCUGUAUAAAACGAGCUAUUUUUGCAUAUCGAGCGCAUAAGUUUUAUAACUUAGGUGUCUGUUUAUGGAGAGGGUGGGAUACUACCUUUUAGCUCAAGGAGUGCACAAAACGGUAUCAUGAAUUCUGCUCUUUUGAUUCAAACACCCAACUUUGAAGAAUCGCUCAUGGUGCUUGUAAAACACGUAUCCCCAGAUCCCUCCCUAGACCUAUCGAACAACUCCAACGGUCUCGGGAAUGUGCGUGGUUUCUGAAAAGCUUGGGAAGCAAGACCUGACUAGACCCCCAAAUCUGAUAUUGGCUGAAUGGCCGACCAAUGGAGUGCAUAAGAAGGUAAGUUGUCAUGUGGCACUCUCAUCACAUUUUCAGGGUAGAGGACUUUCUGAAAUACAGAGGAGGUGUAAGGGGAACUAAGAAAACACUUGAUUACAGCACAUGGUAGCUGGCACAUAGGAAGGUCCUUACUGUUGGCUGAGCCUUGUUCUUUCCCAACAUUGAGACAUCGAGAGCAGCCCAAGCAGCAAAAAGAUUACGAAGACAGCUUGAGCCAGGGUCUUUAGACUACACAGCUUCUGCUUUUUCCCCUCUGUGAAGGAUGCCUAGGGACUGUGCUGGCAGCCCAGCUCCAGCCCUUGAUCCUGAACUUCUGCCUUCCUGGAACUUGCAAACUGAAUGUGAAUAUUCAGUUGCAUGUUGCAUGUUUCCUUCCGGGGCUACUUUAUUGCAAAUUUUAACUUAAAUUUGACCUGGUUAACUGCAGGCCACAUUGAGGACAGCUUCUGUCUUGAUGUUAGAGAAAAACUCUUAUAAAAAUAAAUCUUUUAAUAACCAGAGAAAACCAUCCAACUCCUGAAAGAUGCUUUUCAUAGUAAAACUGAUGGUUUUCAAAACACUUUGACAUGUGUGCUUAUUUAAUCUUCAUAGAAAACUGUAAAGCUUAUUCCACAAGCCAUAAUGGAAGAAAUCAGGUUGGGGGCUCAAUUCUCAGAGCCUGUUGGCUCUAGGCAGAAAGGGAGUUACUACACUUUAGGGCAAUUUGCACUUCAAAUAGCUGGCCCUUGAGCAGACAGGUCCCUCUGCUCUUUCCAAGCCACCCAAAAGCAAUAGUUUUGACAUUAGUGCCCUGCAAGGCAUAGCCUAGGCAUUAGGGUCUAGGUUCAGAAAGUGUUUCCUUCUGGAAUGAAACUGAAAUGAAAGAAAUGGGUUAUUUUGUGCUAGUCCUUUCGAUUAGGACUCUCCUUAAGCUAAAUGUACUGAUAAGAUUGGGACAACACCCAUACCCAAUCAGAAAACUCCAGUCUUGAAAAUCAACUCUUUAAGAUAAACAGUUUGAUUUGUGACAGGUUUUCCGGUAAUCUCACAAGCGCAUCAGGGACUGAUAAAAAAGGAAAGGAGGCACUUUUUCAGUGUAAAAAUGGCUUUACUCUGGGGAAUGCAAAGAGAUGACAACUAAGAACUCACAUUCAGAAGUCAGGUGUUCAAAUCGUAGCUCUGCCCUAAGAGUGACCUUGGGAAGUUACUUUUCUAGGACUUGUUUCCUCAUCCAUAAAAUGGGUGAGUGAUGAGGACAAUGUUUAUCACAGUUGUGAUUACAUCAUAUAUAUAUAUAAAGUACUUACAACCGUGCUACAUAGUGAGACCUAUUAAUACUUUUCAACUCUGAAACUUUUAAAACUAGCACCCGGCUGGGCGUGGUGGCUCACACCUGUAAUCCCAGAACUUUGGGAGGCCAAGGCAGGCAGAUCACUUAAGGUCCGGAGUUCAAGACCAACCUGGCCAAAAUGAUGAAACCCCAUCUCUACUAAAAAUACAACUACCCGGGCGUGGUGGUGGGCGUCUGUAAUCCCAGAUACUCAGGAGGCUGAGGCACGAGAAUCACUUGAAUCCAGGAGGCAGAGGUUGCAGUGAGCUGAGAUAGCGCCACCACACUCCAUUCUGGGCAAGAGAGUGAGACUGCGUCUCAAAAAAAAAAAAGUAUUUCAAAAGCAGAGGUUUUGCAAAGCUGAAGGCCUAAAAAAAAGUAUAUAAUUACAGUUCAAACUUAUUUGAUGGGCACAAAUCCAAGUUUGUCAACAUGCUCUGUUAGCAAGAUACAGGAUACUCGAGAGGCUGAGGCAGGAAGAUCCCCUGAGCCAGUAGUUUGAAGCUGCGUUUCCUAUGAUCGUGGCUGUAAAUAGCCAAUGCAAUUACCUGGGUAACAGUGAGACUUCAUCUCUUUUUUAAAAAGGCAUAGGGGACUGGGACUGGUAAAAACAAAAACUAGUACUUCCCGUGUGAAGGGUCAUUUGGCAAUUCCUAGUGUCAGAAAAAAAUUACAACAAAUUUACUUACAGAUCUAACUGGCGUUUAUUCAUAACUUAUGAAUGGGGCAGCCUCCAUUCUACAAAACAGAAUGAAAGCUCCCAAUGAGAAACAGCAGAAUAGUGGGUUUUGUAAGAUGAGAGCAAGGAAACAAAACAAUGAAAAAUAACUGAUUGGUUAACAUCGGGUUACUUUUUUUUUAAGGGUUAAAGAAGAAGGGACUUCCUUAUUAUUCUGAUUCAGACAGACUGGGAUUUUCUGUUUUCAGGAAAAACUGGUCUGUAAAGUUUCCAUGUAACUGUGUGGCACUUAAUAUAUGUAACUACUUUGGUCUGCUAGGACCUAGUGCAGAAACUCAGUCCACAAACAAUGACCCCCCAUAAUUUUGGUUUAACGUUAGCACAAGUCGCCAGGCGCGGUGGCUCACGCCGGUAAUCCCAGCACUUUGGGAGGCUGAGGCGGGUGGAUCACUUGAGGUCAGAGUUCAAGACUAGCCUGGCCAACAUGGUGAAACCCCAUCUGCACUAAAACUACAAAAAUCAGCUUGGCAUAGUGGCACAUGCCCGUAGUCCCAGCUACUUGGGAGGCUGAGGUAGGAGAAUUGCUUGAACCCAGGAGGCGGACGUUGCAGUGAGUCGAGAUUGCGCCACUGAACUCCAGCCUGAUGACAGAGCAAGACUAUCUCAAAAAGGAAGAAAAGAUAGUGAGAUUCCCUUCUAGCAGUUCUAACACCAAACCACUGAAACAAAUAUAUGAACUAUACAUCAAAAAUAUUCAUCAUGCACAUGCCCAUACCAUGCUCUAGCCUUUAGGUUACUGAUGCUUCCAGAGAAUAUAGGAAUUCUAUAAAUCCUUAACCCUUCUUUGAAUGAGGGCUAGCGCUUAUAAAUUAGCUAAUAGUAUGACAAAUAAGAGCAAUUUGAAUUUUUCUUACAGAAUAAAAUAUACAAAUGGAAGAGUUAUCUAAUUCACCUAUUGGGUAGUAGAUAGAAAUGGUGAAUUCUCUUAAGCCACAGAAACAAGCUAGCACAUUGUGUGAUACACAUUGUACAACACUGAGGGUAAGUCACAAUUGUAGAUAAGAAUUGGUUAAGGGAGAUGCUAUAAUUAGCAAGUGGUUAAUGUUCUACUUCCCAAGUCCAAAAGGGGAUACAAUGGUUUUGUUGGUCCUCCAGCCCCUUUACUUUUAAGAGUAGUAUUUUCUAACCAUUCCAGGUUUCUCCAAAGCUCUGGAUAAAUUCUAGCAGAACCUAGCUGGCCGGGCAUGGUGGCUCAUACCUGUAAUCCCAGCACUCUGGGAAGCUGAGGUGGGCGGAUCACAAGGUCAGGAGAUCGAGACCAUGGUGAAACCCCGUCCCUACUAAAAAUAUUAAAAAAUUAGCCAGGCGUGGCGGCGGGCGCCUACAGUCCCAGCUACUCGGGAGGCUGAGGCAGGAGAAUGGCGGGAACCCGAGAGGCGGAGCUUGCAGUGAGCUGAGAUGGCGCCACUGCACUCCAGCCUGGGCAACAGAGUGAGACUCCAUCUCAAAACAAACAAACAAAAAAACCCCCAAAAACCCAGCAACACAGCAGUUAUAAAGGAUUAAACCUUAGCUCUAAACCACCUACCCUCAAAUUGGUAGUAGGUAUAUACACUUUUCUGGAGUGCAUACCAAACAUUUUCUGCAGUCUGGGGAAAAUGUUCUAAAAUUUGUAAAUGCCUUUCAAAAUAUAAGCCGGUAUAUUUACAGAAUUUCCUUCAAACAAAAUAAAUUUACUGUAUCAUUCUGUAAAAUGUCUGCAAUCUCCAGCUUUUGUGCUAAAAUUUAAAGUUGUAACAUGUAAAUAUUUCUGUAUUUUUGAAUUACCUUCUAUUGAAGGAACAUGUAAUAUUAACAUAUUCACUAGGCCAAAUCGGUGUUUUUGUAUCUCUUUUUAACCACCAAGCAAAUUUCUAGGCUGCUAGAAUCAGCCUGUCAGUGGCAGAAGUUAUGGUUAGAAAUCCUCUCCUGUUCAUUUUAUAGAUGGGAAAACUUAAGGAGCCAUGAGGGGGUUCUGCAACUCACCAGUCACACAGUCAGUUAAUGGCCAAGGAAAGAACCCAUUCUCCCAAAUGCCAACCCAGUACUCUCCACAGAAUUAAGCUAUAUUAGCAUCGUAAGCUAACAACUCUUUUCCUACAUCCCUACUGUAAGCCCCAGUAAAAUGAAGCUAAAGUAUCUUUUCCCCCUCCUGAUUAUUGGGAAAUCUGCAUUACCUAAAUGCCAGAUGCCUUGGGAUUUCAAAAUAGAAUUAUCUUACUGAAGAGAGGGCUGGUUAAUAGAAUGGAAUAAUAAAUGACUACUGCUGUGGCUUAGAUUUUUAAGAGAGUCCUAUUGCAGUCUGUCUACCAUGACAAUGACCUGCUUUGGUUUCCCUAAGAACACCCAAGAGGAGCAAUGACAAAAGUACACAUUUUUAUUAAUAGCUGAAUUUUAAACAGCCAAUGUGUGGAGGUUAUUUACUAACCAACAGGAAACACCUGCAGCAGGCUGCAUACUUAUAGAGCAGCAAACUUAAGGGAAGUCUGUAAGGCUUUACUGUCUUCCUUUUCAAGUCUCUUCACUGCUAUGCACAGUUGAGGGCAUAACCUUAAAAGUCUGUAACAUAACAAAAACAUUUUAAACAUCAAACAUCGUGCUUUCCCCACUGUGGCACAUUUUUAGAGUAAAGCAUUUGGCCAACUGGAUGUUACAGCAUGAUGCCCACUACAUUAUGUUUAAGCUUCCAUUCCAGUUCUGAACCCACCAGACCCUUGGAGCAGCUGGAAUUACCAAAUCAACAGGGUAUCAGUGUAACUCAAUCCUACAUGGAGCAAACAGACAAAGCAGUUAGUUCCUCAAACACCCAAUUUACUUGACAGAAUCAAAGACCAACUUUAUAAGUUUAGAAGUUUUUAAAAGCAGAUACACAUUUAGAAUUAAGCUAAAUGUAUAUCCUCCGUGUUCCCCCAUCCUCACCCUCAACUCUCACACACUCACCCCCUUGGUAGGAGAAUGGUGAGAAGUGGAUGAAACUUGAUGCUUGACUACAUGGCUCCAGUAAUGCAGUGAAAAGACAAAAACACAUCAACGUGACGUUCCAGGGAAAUAAACGCGAAAUCAUGCAUCCAACUGGCCACUAAGGGUUGGCUGUACAGAAUUGUAGUAUGCGUAUGGAGAAAAUGCUAACUGAACCUUUCUAAACAAAUAAAAAUAUACACAAUUAUUUUUCCAAUAGCUCAAGUAUUGACUUAUUUUAUGGGCAGAUGAUACCAAACUAGCAAAAAGCUUUAUGCUAAAAAUGUGCCUUUGUGGGAAAACCAGCAUGUUCGGUACUUAAAAUAUUUCCAUUCUGAACUGAAGUCAGUGAAUAGGCAUGUCUUGCAACUUCAUUUGCUUAGCAGGGUCUUGGUUUGAUUUGUAAAAACUGGGACAUAAAAUGUUUUACUAGCACUUGCCACUUAAAGUCCUAAAUUUGGUGUAUUGUGACCGUUGACAAGUAGUAGCAUUUCCCCCGCCCCCAAAAAAUCACAAUAUCAAUUCUGUGGAUAUUUUAAAAGUUUAUUUCUAUUUUAACUAGCCCACAGACCCCAUUCUUUGAGGGCUGAUCUGAUUUCUG